UUGGGUCCGAGUUGGUAAUUUGUAGAGGAUGCUUCGGGCAAGGCUGUGGUCUAAUUCGCUUGGAACAGCGGGUCAAAGAGGGUGAGAAUCCCGUCUAGGAUCGUAUGCCGCGUCCAUGUGAAGCUCCUUCGACGAGUCGAGUUGUUUGGGAAUGCAGCUCUAAAUGGGUGGUAAAUUUCAUCUAAAGCUAAAUAUUGGCCAGAGACCGAUAGCGCACAAGUAGAGUGAUCGAAAGAUGAAAAGCACUUUGAAAAGAGAGUUAAACAGUAUGUGAAAUUGUUGAAAGGGAAGCGCUUGCAAUCAGACUUGUGGCUGACGGUUCCCCUGGCCCUCGUGGCCGGGCUACUCCGUCGUGUCCAGGCCAACAUCGGUCUGGGUGGCCGGUCAAAGACCCCGGGAAUGUAUCUACCUUCGGGUCGACUUAUAGCCCGGGGUGGAAUGCGGCCCACCCGGACCGAGGAACGCGCUUCGGCUCGGAUGUUGGCGUAAUGGUUGCAAGCGGCCCGUCUUGAAACACGGACCAAGGAGUCUAACAUCUAUGCGAGUGUUUGGGUGUCAAACCCCUACGCGGAAUGAAAGUGANCGGAGGUAAGAACCCCGCANGGGGCGCAUUAUCGACCGAUCCUGAUGUCUUCGGAUGGAUUNGAGUA
RNAcentral lists this ribosomal RNA (650 nucleotides) under Verrucaria elaeomelaena. Its description in RNAcentral is "eukaryotic LSU rRNA". It matches the Rfam family "Eukaryotic large subunit ribosomal RNA", at positions 131 to 796 of the family's 3401-position model. The record is from RNAcentral. Lineage: Eukaryota; Fungi; Ascomycota; Eurotiomycetes; Verrucariales; Verrucariaceae.